RNAcentral lists this ribosomal RNA (396 nucleotides) under uncultured bacterium. RNAcentral describes it as "bacterial SSU rRNA". It matches the Rfam family "Bacterial small subunit ribosomal RNA", at positions 28 to 430 of the family's 1533-position model. The record is from RNAcentral.
GACGAACGCUGGCGGCGUGCUUAACACAUGCAAGUCGAGCGGUAAGGCCCUUUCGGGGGUACACGAGCGGCGAACGGGUGAGUAACACGUGGGUGACCUGCCCUCAGCUCUGGGAUAAGCCUGGGAAACCGGGUCUAAUACCGGAUAUGACUCCAUGACGCAUGUUGUGGGGUGGAAAGCCUUGUGCGGCUGAGGAUGGCCCGCGGCCUAUCAGCUUGUUGGUGGGGUGAUGGCCUACCAAGGCGACGACGGGUAGCGGCCUGAGAGGGCGACCGGCCACACUGGGACUGAGACACGGCCCAGACUCCUACGGGAGGGCAGCAGUGGGGAAUCUUGCGCAAUGGGCGAAAGCCUGACGCAGCGACGCCGCGUGAGGGAUGACGGCCUGGUGUAACU